CGGUACUGCCAUCUUCGUUCUGCGCCGGCUUGUUGAGUUUGCCGAGCGAGGGGAAAGGCU
This 60-nucleotide small RNA is filed under the name Sinorhizobium meliloti 2011. RNAcentral describes it as "putative ncRNA". The record is from RNAcentral. Lineage: Bacteria; Pseudomonadati; Pseudomonadota; Alphaproteobacteria; Hyphomicrobiales; Rhizobiaceae.